UCCUACGGGGGGCAGCAGUGGGGGAUAUUGCACAAUGGGGGGAACCCUGAUGCAGCGACGCCGCGUGGGUGAAGAAGCGCCUCGGCGCGUAAAGCCCUGUCAGCAGGGAAGAAAAUGACGGUACCUGAAGAAGAAGCCCCGGCUAACUACGUGCCAGCAGCCGCGGUAAUACGGAGGAUGCGAGCGUUAUCCGGAUUUAUUGGGUUUAAAGGGUGCGUAGGCGGAUCGUUAAGUCAGUGGUCAAAUUGAGGGGCUCAACCCCUUCCCGCCAUUGAAACUGGCGCUCUUGAGUGGAAGAGAAGUAU
This 305-nucleotide ribosomal RNA is filed under the name uncultured bacterium. RNAcentral describes it as "bacterial SSU rRNA". It matches the Rfam family "Bacterial small subunit ribosomal RNA", at positions 337 to 660 of the family's 1533-position model. The record is from RNAcentral.